GGCGUGUAGUAACAAUUAAAUUGUAGGUUAAAUGUUGGACUAGAGAAAUAUUGAUGAUAGUUUGAUUGGCAAAUUGUUAUAUGUCAGCUUCUGCAAUCCAUGGUACAACUACAAACCUGUGGGUAUUGUUGCUAAAAUAUGUAAUAUAGCACAAAUGAAGUUUGUAUGAAUGUAUGGCAUACAAGUAGCAUACCUACAUAAUUUGAAUUGUUUUCGUGACUUCGUGGGUCAAUAGUAGGCUGCGGUUUUAGGAUCUGGCAGUAGCCAGAUCUGUUUGUGCUUAUGCCCGAAGGUAAAAUCUGGCGAUUUGGGUG
RNAcentral lists this long non-coding RNA (314 nucleotides) under Hordeum vulgare. Its description in RNAcentral is "long non-coding RNA (HVUL_LNC004711)". The record is from RNAcentral. Lineage: Eukaryota; Viridiplantae; Streptophyta; Magnoliopsida; Poales; Poaceae.